Phyllostomus discolor (pale spear-nosed bat) is the source of this 1970-nucleotide long non-coding RNA. RefSeq lists it as uncharacterized. Lineage: Eukaryota; Metazoa; Chordata; Mammalia; Chiroptera; Phyllostomidae. The record is from RefSeq and is a predicted model, not a curated record. The transcript is spliced from 2 exons.
AGCAACAAAUAUCUACUGUAGAUCACCAAUAGACCAGCAACACUUUAAUAUUUUUCAGUGUGAGUAUUUCUAUGAAGUCAAGCCAAAUUCACGUGGCUGUGGACCUCAGAGGACUCAAAUUAGAUGCACCCUGUAGGGCAAUAAAGGAAUAAACACCUUCUACUUGGGCUUUAUGUAGAAUUUUGUUUAAUUCAGACUGUGAUCAAUAUGAAUAAAGAAGCAAUCUCUGACGGACUCAGGUGUGGCCUAUCUGGUACCUUACACGGCAGCUGUCAAAUUAAACGUCACAGUUACUCACCCAAGAAAAUACACUUGUACACAAUCCAAAUAAACUCGUAAACUGGUAUUCAUCACUUUGAUACAGAGGUGUGUCUCAACGCUUUUAAAAAGACCUAAAUUUUAUGAAAGCUAUUUACUGGAGGUUGCUACCUUCCAACUAGAAAGGAUAAAUAAGAAAGUAAAAGUAAAUGUUCUAAUAUGACCAGAACACCUUACUAAAAACAUUAAUGCAUAAACUGAAAUUCAUAUAUCUAAAAAAGUCCAAUAUUAAUAGUCCAAAAGUAUAGAUAUAUAUUUAUUAAAAACAUGUUUCAAAACACUUCUUUAAAGCAAUAAUGCUUAUAAGUUCCCUUCUUCCAAAUAUUCAGUAUUACAAAAUUUGGAAAUGCCACUUACAUAGAAGUACAGAGAAUUUAACUGAAAGGACUUGUUUGCUGGAAAUGAUACCAAAAAUAAAUUUGAAUUUACAGUAGGUAUUCAUCAAAAUCUAAUCAUAAAAUACUUAACAAAUUAAAUACAAAAAGCCUGCUUCCAAGAGCAGGCUGUGGUAGGUGUGUGCAUUUGCUUAAGGAGACAAUGCAUGCAGCUGGUGUAACCUUCAGUAAGUUUCGACCAAAGCCUGAUGGCUACCCGUUCUAUUUCAUACAGGGCAAUUAUAGCAAAUGGUUUUCGGGCUUAACAUUCUGCCAUUUCUUUUUCUUUCUGGAAUGUAAUCAACAAGAUAUUAAGAUUGCUUCUGCUUAGCUUUUCUUUAUCUUCACAUUUACAGAAAAAAAUAAUCAUAAUGCAUUUAGUGAAAAGCAUGAGUAAAAAAAGACCUGAUGUUUAGUAGAAUUUUUCUGACAAUUACUUUAACAAAUGACAUAUUCAUAGCUUUCAUACAUAAUGAAAUGUUAGUCCUUUCAUAAUAAAAUACAAAAUCUUAAUUAUGCUUCUCAUUUUCUAUAAUUCCUAGAUUUUUCAGUAUGUACUAUACUAACAUAUGAAAAUCAGUUUGAAGUGCUUUUGUAUGUUCAAUAAGAUAAAACUACAACAGCUCCAUGAAUGUCAUGUUAUUCUAAAACCUAAUGCUCACACAGGCACAUACUAUAAUAAGCAUAGGGUACAGAGUUAACAAACCUUGUGCUUAAAUUCAUAUACUGAAUUAUUUAAAAAGUUAACUCACAUAUCCUAAUGCACUUUUAAAUUACAUUCUACAACAACUAUACAUGCAGUUCCUCUCAGUACACCUACAGUAGUUGAUGUUGAGUGCAGGCUGCUCCUUUACAAUGCUGCCUCUACGUGCCCACUGUCACUCUUUUGGACCAACAGCACAUCUCCAGAAUCAAAGCGUCUGGAAACUAUGAGUGCUCUGGAGGAGCCCUGCUCUUUCCUGAGCCUCUGAAUUAUCCCAUGUAAAUGGAGUUAGGGUGCCAGCACUCACCCCACCUCUGGCAUGAGACCACAGAACAUCUCAUUAUAUCCUCCAAGAUCACCUCUCUUUUUCUUCUCCCCCUCUUGCUUAAUUUUGUCAUCACUACAUUUACCACCAUGUAACAUAAAAUGUUAUAUUUAUCAGUUCACCUCCUCAAAUGGAAGCUCUAUGAAAGCAGAGGUCGAGUCUCUUUUAUCUACUGCUGUUAUUAUUCCAGCCACUACAAAUGCCUGGUGCAUCAUAACUAUUAAAAAUAACAACAACAACAACAAAAAAC